Molecule: transfer RNA, 77 nt
Filed under: Candidatus Omnitrophota bacterium
Lineage: Bacteria; Pseudomonadati; Candidatus Omnitrophota
Description: Candidatus Omnitrophica bacterium tRNA-Val
Rfam family: tRNA
About the family: Transfer RNA (tRNA) molecules are approximately 80 nucleotides in length. Their secondary structure includes four short double-helical elements and three loops (D, anti-codon, and T loops).
Source: RNAcentral
GGGCGGUUAGCUCAGUUGGUUAGAGCGCCACGUUGACAUCGUGGAGGUCACAGGUUCGAAUCCCGUAUCGCCCACCA